GCGGAAACAGCCCACUAUGCGAAAAAUCCCUCCUUUUCUCGUCCUGUCUCCACCCCGUUCCACAGACUGCCCCCAAAUCUCGUUCUGCCUCGAAACCUAAAUCCUCCACCACCGCCGCCGCCGCCGCCGCUCGAGCCCUCUCUCGCCGCUCGUGCUCUCUCCCCGUCCGGCUACGUGCUCUCCUGGCGGCGAGUCUGUAGCCCCCUCUCCCGCUCGUUCUCCAGUGUCUCCACCGCCGACCCCACACCAUCCUGCCACGGCCACGCGCUCCAUUGUUGUUCCCCGGCUAGUGCUCUCUCCGGCCAGCCACCACGCGUAAGCUUCCAGCGAGGCUGA
RNAcentral lists this ribosomal RNA (336 nucleotides) under Triticum aestivum (bread wheat). Its description in RNAcentral is "partial small subunit ribosomal RNA". Lineage: Eukaryota; Viridiplantae; Streptophyta; Magnoliopsida; Poales; Poaceae. The record is from RNAcentral.